RNAcentral lists this ribosomal RNA (468 nucleotides) under uncultured bacterium. RNAcentral describes it as "partial 16S ribosomal RNA". It matches the Rfam family "Bacterial small subunit ribosomal RNA", at positions 28 to 507 of the family's 1533-position model. The record is from RNAcentral.
GACGAACGCUGGCGGCGUGCCUAAUACAUGCAAGUCGAACGGACAGGUCCUGCUCUUGCUGGGUUCACGAUAGCCGCACGGGUGAGAAACACGUGUGUAACCCGUCCCUAUCUGUCUGGUAUCUUCUGGAAACUCGGGCUCACACCCGAUAGGAUCUCUUGAUCCUCAUUGUGGGAUGGUAAGUUACGGUGGUGGGGGAUGGACUCGCUGCUUACGCGCUUGUUGGUGGAGUAGUGGCUUACCAAGGCUACGACGGGUAGCCGGCCUGGGAGGGUGACCGGGCACAUUGGGACUGAGGUACGGCCCAGACUCCAACGGGAGGCAGCGGGGGGGAAUAUUACACAAUAGGCGGAAGCCUGAUGCAACGGCGCCGGGUGCGGGAUGACGGCUUUCGGGUUGUAAACCGCUUUCGCCUGUGACGAAGCGUGAGUGACGGUAAUGGAUAAGAAAGCACCGGCUAACUACGUG